GUGCCAGCCGCCGCGGUAAUACGUAGGUGGCAAGCGUUGUCCGGAUUUACUGGGCGUAAAGAGCGCGCAGGCGGUCGAUUAAGUCGAGUGUGAAAGCCCCCGGCUCAACUGGGGAGGGUCACUUGAUACUGGUCGACUCGAAGGCAGGAGAGGGAAGUGGAAUUCCCGGUGUAGUGGUGAAAUGCGUAGAUAUCGGGAGGAACACCAGUGGCGAAGGCGACUUCCUGGCCUGUUCUUGACGCUGAGGCGCGAAAGCUAGGGGAGCAAACGGGAUUAGAUACCCCUGUAGUCC
This 292-nucleotide ribosomal RNA is filed under the name uncultured bacterium. Its description in RNAcentral is "partial 16S ribosomal RNA". It matches the Rfam family "Bacterial small subunit ribosomal RNA", at positions 505 to 796 of the family's 1533-position model. The record is from RNAcentral.